Long non-coding RNA from Oncorhynchus tshawytscha (Chinook salmon), 534 nucleotides. Lineage: Eukaryota; Metazoa; Chordata; Actinopteri; Salmoniformes; Salmonidae. The record is from Ensembl.
GUCUCAUGUUGAAGGAUGCCCUUCAACCCCCACAUCCCCUUAACUGCCACUCCUCCCUCCAACACCUCCUCCUCCCAGGUAUGUUACCCCAUACAAACAAGAUAAAGCAAUGUCUCAUGUUGAAGAAUCAUUGUCAGUUCAAACAUAACUCAUCCUUAACCCGUCGUUCCUCCCUUCCCUCUCUUCUCCCAGGACACCAUACAUACACAGUGUGUGUGUGUGAGGAGACAUCUGAGGCUCAUAUUGUUCUUGUUUCCCAGAAUUCCAUGCUGCUCGCUCCCGGUGCUUAACAUAGUUGGCAGUUCUCUUCAUCCUCCUAACUACACAGUAUGGCCUUUUUUUUUUUUUUUUUUUUAAAAGACGGCCAGACCAGGUGCAUAUUCUCUUCCAGAUCCAACUCUGUUCUGUUCUUGUGCUGAAGCUCUGUCCAGCACCACUGCUCAAGCGUGUCCAACACUUUCACUGGAGAGAGAGAGAGAGAAAGAAGAGACGUCACAGAGUGAGAGGAAAGAUUUGAAGAGUGGAACAAAGACA